Carassius auratus (goldfish) is the source of this 831-nucleotide long non-coding RNA. RefSeq lists it as uncharacterized. The record is from RefSeq and is a predicted model, not a curated record. NCBI's taxonomy places the organism in Eukaryota, Metazoa, Chordata, Actinopteri, Cypriniformes, Cyprinidae. The transcript is spliced from 3 exons.
UUAUAUCAUCAUGCAGGAGUCACAUGGUAGGUUCAGUGAAUGCUUUCAACCAAUCAUAGCAUGCAAGCAUGUUUUUACAAGCUGCGGUGAGUUUCCCCAAUCAGUAGUGUGAGGGUGAAGCCACCGGAGCAGUUGCACUCGUGUCGCCCACCGUCAUCUUUAGAAGCCGACUAGUGCCGCGGUGUGUCGAAUAUCUGUAGGAAUUGGCCAGGUGCGGCCAGUUGCGGGCCAGUUGAUGGCGAGCUAUCAUUACCUGGAACAGAACCUGCCUCAACAACAUCAUCGCCACCUGUGGGUUCGGUAGGAGGUUGUGCAGCUUUGCUCACCCCCUCACUCUCAUAUAUACACGCACACAGCCAUUCACUAGGUUCUGGCUCAUGAACUAAUUGCAUAUCACGGACCAUCCACAUUAUUUGGACAUGGUGUUCAUCUUUUAUGAGCAAAGAAUAUAGUCCUAUACUGUGUAGUGAAUUGUCUUUAAAUUGAGUACUCUCCAGUUUUCUGAGUUACAAGUUGUUGUUUACCCUUUGUGAACUACUGAACUUCUCUGCAGAUUUGAAAUAUUUUGGGUAUUGUUGUUAUUGUUUGUCUUUUGUUUUCACUUAAUACAUGGUACCAACACAAAAUCUAAAUUACCUGUCUCUGUGUUAUUAUUUGCUUUUUCAACACCUCCCUCAGAUGAACUUUUAUCUUUUGUAAUCCAAUUAUUAACUAUAGCUAUAUUUAACACACAUACCCUGUGUGUAUGCUACAAAAUGUAGAAAAAUGAACAUAAUAAGCAAGUACACCAUGAAUCCAUUUUCCAAACCGUGUUUUUAGCUUGUCCUGAAU